CAAAAGAGGAAACACACGAUGGUGACAUAGCUCUAAUUGUUUAGAAAGCUGUGAAAUCACCAGCCCAAACACACAAAAUUUCCAUGCUCAGUGCUCCACGAAGAAUUUGACCAGGUGAUACUGACGAAAGUGUCACUGGUGGUACAGUAACCAAGAGCCUUCAGUCCAGAAGGCGUAGAUUCAGAUUCUAGCUCUACCGCUUACAGUGUUACUUAACAGAUGGACAAGUUUCUUAAUCUCUCAGUUUCCUCAUCUGUUAAAAGUGCACUUUUAAUACAGUAAUAGUGGAAUUUACCACCUAAGUUGUUGGUUUUUUGUUUUUAAAUAAGGCCGAAAUGGGUUAAUAUUUGUAACUGAUCAAGGCUGAGAACCGCUGUGCUCCCUGGCACAGAAGAGAGUGAGAAGGGGUGAAGAACAGAUCUGGAGGAGCCAAUGAAGGAUAUCUGGCACAUCCGUGAAAUCACUUACUCAUACACCUGUGAACUGUAAGAGACUGAAAGUGAACUGACAGAUGUGCCAGCAUCAGGGUUAGCCCCAGUCUUACUCCCCUCCAAGCUUCAAGCCCAUCUUCUGCUGAGCAUGUUCUCUGGCUCUUUGUGGAUGGCUCAGCAUCAACCUG
RNAcentral lists this long non-coding RNA (619 nucleotides) under Equus asinus (donkey). RNAcentral describes it as "lncRNA (ENSEASG00005028743.1)". Lineage: Eukaryota; Metazoa; Chordata; Mammalia; Perissodactyla; Equidae. The record is from RNAcentral.